RNAcentral lists this ribosomal RNA (389 nucleotides) under uncultured bacterium. RNAcentral describes it as "bacterial SSU rRNA". It matches the Rfam family "Bacterial small subunit ribosomal RNA", at positions 28 to 418 of the family's 1533-position model. The record is from RNAcentral.
GACGAACGCUGGCGGCGUGCUUAACACAUGCAAGUCGAGCGGUAAGGCCCCUUCGGGGGUACACGAGCGGCGAACGGGUGAGUAACACGUGGGUGACCUGCCCUCAGCUCUGGGAUAAGCCUGGGAAACUGGGUCUAAUACCGGAUAUGACUCCAUGACGCAUGUCGUGGGGUGGAAAGCCUUGUGCGGCUGGGGAUGGGCCCGCGGCCUAUCAGCCUGUUGGUGGGGUGAUGGCCUACCAAGGCGACGACGGGUAGCCGGCCUGAGAGGGCGACCGGCCACACUGGGACUGAGACACGGCCCAGACUCCUACGGGAGGCAGCAGUGGGGAAUCUUGCGCAAUGGGCGAAAGCCUGACGCAGCGACGCCGCGUGAGGGAUGACGGCCUC